This 87-nucleotide non-coding RNA is filed under the name unclassified sequences. RNAcentral describes it as "L4-Archaeoglobi ribosomal protein leader". It matches the Rfam family "L4-Archaeoglobi ribosomal protein leades". The record is from RNAcentral.
CUGAUUAGGACGCAUGGGUCGACGUUCGUGCAACGAGCCCGUUCCCUCUGCUGUAAUAAUAGCAGCAGGAGGAUGCACCAAUAUCAG